This 77-nucleotide transfer RNA is filed under the name Caryophanales bacterium. RNAcentral's name for it is "tRNA-Pro". It matches the Rfam family "tRNA". From Rfam's summary of the family: Transfer RNA (tRNA) molecules are approximately 80 nucleotides in length. Their secondary structure includes four short double-helical elements and three loops (D, anti-codon, and T loops). Further hydrogen bonds mediate the characteristic L-shaped molecular structure. tRNAs have two regions of fundamental functional importance: the anti-codon, which is responsible for specific mRNA codon recognition, and the 3' end, to which the tRNAs corresponding amino acid is attached (by aminoacyl-tRNA synthetases). tRNAs cope with the degeneracy of the genetic code in two manners: having more than one tRNA (with a specific anti-codon) for a particular amino acid; and 'wobble' base-pairing, i.e. permitting non-standard base-pairing at the 3rd anti-codon position. The record is from RNAcentral. Lineage: Bacteria; Bacillati; Bacillota; Bacilli; Caryophanales.
CGAGAUGUAGCACAGCUUGGUAGUGCAUCUGGUUUGGGACCAGAGGGUCGCAAGUUCGAAUCUUGUCAUCUCGACCA